Molecule: ribosomal RNA, 459 nt
Filed under: uncultured bacterium
Lineage: Bacteria
Description: partial 16S ribosomal RNA
Rfam family: Bacterial small subunit ribosomal RNA
Source: RNAcentral
CCUACGGGAGGCAGCAGUGAGGAAUAUUGGUCAAUGGGCGGGAGCCUGAACCAGCCAAGUCGCGUGAGGGAAGACGGUCCUAUGGGUUGUAAACCUCUUUAGGCGGGGAGCAAUGCCGGGCACGUGUGCCCGGAGGGAGAGUACCCGCAGAAUAAGCAUCGGCUAACUCCGUGCCAGCAGCCGCGGUAAUACGGAGGAUGCGAGCGUUAUCCGGAUUUAUUGGGUUUAAAGGGUGCGUAGGCGGAUUUUUAAGUCAGCGGUAAAAUCGCGGGGCUCAACCUCGCUCCGCCGUUGAAACUGGCGUUCUUGAGUGGGCGAGAAGUAUGGGGAAGGGGGGGUGUAGCGGUGAAAUGCAUAGAUAUCACGCAGAACUCCGAUUGCGAAGGCAGCAUACCGGCGCCCAACGGACGCUGAAGCACGAAAGCGUGGGUAUCGAACAGGAUUAGAUACCCCGGUAGU